Molecule: transfer RNA, 70 nt
Filed under: Hydroptila sp. XG-2021
Lineage: Eukaryota; Metazoa; Arthropoda; Insecta; Trichoptera; Hydroptilidae
Description: tRNA-Asp
Source: RNAcentral
AAAGAAUUAGUUAAUCUUUAUAACAUAAAUAUGUCAAAUUUAAGUAAUUAAAAUUAUUUAAUAUUCUUUU